This 316-nucleotide ribosomal RNA is filed under the name Erysipelotrichia bacterium. RNAcentral's name for it is "partial 23S ribosomal RNA". It matches the Rfam family "Bacterial large subunit ribosomal RNA", at positions 2607 to 2925 of the family's 2925-position model. The record is from RNAcentral. Lineage: Bacteria; Bacillati; Bacillota; Erysipelotrichia.
GGGUUCAGAACGUCGUGAGACAGUUUGGUCCCUAUCUGUCGUGGGCGUAGGAAGUUUGAUAGGAGUUGUCCCUAGUACGAGAGGACCGGGAUGAACAUAGCAAUGGUACAUCGGUUGUCACGCCAGUGGCACAGCCGGGUAGCUACCUCUGGAAUUGAUAAACGCUGAAAGCAUCUAAGCGUGAAGCGAACCUAAAGAUGAGACUUCCCAUUCGAAAGAAGUAAGACCCCCUGAAAGUUACAGGGUUGAUAGGUUAGAAGUGUAAGCAUAGCGAUAUGUUCAGCUGACUAAUACUAAUAGGUCGAGGACUUAAUUU